Long non-coding RNA from Sphaeramia orbicularis (orbiculate cardinalfish), 326 nucleotides. RefSeq lists it as uncharacterized. The transcript has 3 exons. The record is from RefSeq and is a predicted model, not a curated record. NCBI's taxonomy places the organism in Eukaryota, Metazoa, Chordata, Actinopteri, Kurtiformes, Apogonidae.
AGGUAUUAUUCUUACACCUGUUCAACUCCUGCAUCUCACAACCAUUGAAGUUUGGUCCUGCAGCUCAACAUUCAAACAAGAAUUUAUCCAAACGGUCCAGCUGCGAUGAGGACGUCUGCAGUUCUAUGCACAGUCUUAUUGAUGUUGAGUCACACACUUUGUAGACGUCAUCAAGACAGUUCCAUGAGUAUCAGAAAUCCAGACAUCGAUGCCUCCUGGUACACAGGCAGAGGGAUCCGACCAGUGGGACGGUUUGGAAGAAAGGCUGUGAGGAGAAUCGAACAUCUGGCUUUUAUCACAGCCGGAGCUCACAGGCCAACAGCUGA